This 253-nucleotide ribosomal RNA is filed under the name uncultured bacterium. RNAcentral describes it as "partial 16S ribosomal RNA". It matches the Rfam family "Bacterial small subunit ribosomal RNA", at positions 524 to 776 of the family's 1533-position model. The record is from RNAcentral.
GACGAACCGUCCUAACGUUGUUCGGAAUCACUGGGCUUAAAGGGCGCGUAGGCGGCUUGCCAAGUCAGGGGUGAAAUCCUGCAGCUUAACUGUAGAAGAGCCUUUGAUACUGGCGAGCUCGAGGGAGGUAGGGGUGGGUGGAACUUCUGGUGGAGCGGUGAAAUGCGUUGAUAUCAGAAGGAACGCCGGUGGCGAAAGCGACCCACUGGAUCUCUACUGACGCUGAGGCGCGAAAGCUAGGGGAGCAAACGGG